This 762-nucleotide ribosomal RNA is filed under the name Triticum aestivum (bread wheat). RNAcentral's name for it is "partial small subunit ribosomal RNA". The record is from RNAcentral. Lineage: Eukaryota; Viridiplantae; Streptophyta; Magnoliopsida; Poales; Poaceae.
AUGACAAGCGUGACCAAAAAUCAGUUUGGUUUCAUGCCUGGGAGGUCGACCAUGGAAGCCAUUUUCUUGGUACGACAACUUAUGGAGAGAUAUAGGGAGCAUAAGAAGGACUUGCAUAUGGUGUUCAUUGACUUGGAGAAGGCCUAUGAUAAGAUACCGCAGAAUGUCAUGUGGUGGGCCUUGGAGAAACACAAAGUCCCAGCAAAAUACAUUACCCUCAUCAAGGACAUGUACAAUAAUGUUGUGACAAGUGUUCGAACAAGUGAUGUCGACACCGAUGACUUCCCGAUUAAGAUAGGACUGCAUCAGGGGUCAGCUUUGAGCCCUUAUCUUUUUGCAUUGGUGAUGGAUGAGGUCACAAGGGGUAUACAAGGAGAUAUCCCAUGGUGUAUGCUCUUUGCGGAUGAUGUGGUGCUAGUUGACGAUAGUCGGACGAGGGUAAAUAGGAAGUUAGAGUUAUGGAGACAAACCUUGGAAUCGAAAGGGUUUAGGCUUAGUAGAACUAAAACCGAGUACAUGAUGUGUGGUUUCAGUACUACUAGCUGUGAGGAGGAGGAGGUUAGCCUUGAUGGCCAGGUGGUACCUCGGAAGGACACCUUUCGGUAUUUGGGGUCAAUGUUGCAGGAGGAUGGGGGUAUUGAUGAAGAUGUGAACCAUCGAAUCAAAGCCGGAUGGAUGAAGUGGCGCCAAGCUUCUGGCAUUCUCUGUGACAAGAGAGUGCCACAAAAGCUAAAAGGCAAGUUCUACAGGACGGCGGUUUGA